Molecule: non-coding RNA, 106 nt
Organism: Gossypium hirsutum (cotton)
Lineage: Eukaryota; Viridiplantae; Streptophyta; Magnoliopsida; Malvales; Malvaceae
Source: Rfam
AGUUUAUGAUGAAGACAACUUCUCAACAAAUCUUUAAAUCUCUCCCAUGCAUCAUAAGUGUCUCAAUGUCAAAUUGAACCAAAGAAGAGAUGUCAUUCCUUAACUU